CUGAGUUUGAUCCUGGCUCAGAACGAACGCUGGCGGCAGGCUUAACACAUGCAAGUCGAGCGCCUCGCAAGAGGAGCGGCAGACGGGUGAGUAACGCGUGGGAAUCUACCGUACCCUACGGAAUAGCUCUGGGAAACUGGAAGUAAUACCGUAUACGCCCUUCGGGGGAAAGAUUUAUCGGGGUAUGAUGAGCCCGCGUUGGAUUAGCUAGUUGGUGGGGUAAAGGCCUACCAAGGCGACGAUCCAUAGCUGGUCUGAGAGGAUGAUCAGCCACAUUGGGACUGAGACACGGCCCAAACUCCUACGGGAGGCAGCAGUGGGGAAUAUUGGACAAUGGGCGCAAGCCUGAUCCAGCCAUGCCGCGUGAGUGAUGAAGGUCUUAGGAUUGUAAAGCUCUUUCACCGGAGAAGAUAAUGACGGUAGCCGGAGAAGAAGCCCCGGC
RNAcentral lists this ribosomal RNA (442 nucleotides) under Gillisella vitis. RNAcentral's name for it is "bacterial SSU rRNA". It matches the Rfam family "Bacterial small subunit ribosomal RNA", at positions 1 to 497 of the family's 1533-position model. Lineage: Bacteria; Pseudomonadati; Pseudomonadota; Alphaproteobacteria; Hyphomicrobiales; Rhizobiaceae. The record is from RNAcentral.